AGACCCGAAACCCGGUGAUCUAGCCAUGGGCAGGUUGAAGGUUGGGUAACACUAACUGGAGGACCGAACCGACUAAUGUUGAAAAAUUAGCGGAUGACCUGUGGCUGGGGGUGAAAGGCCAAUCAAACCGGGAGAUAGCUGGUUCUCCCCGAAAGCUAUUUAGGUAGCGCCUCGUGAAUUCAUCUCCGGGGGUAGAGCACUGUUUCGGCUAGGGGGCCAUCCCGGCUUACCAACCCGAUGCAAACUGCGAAUACCGGAGAAUGUUAUCACGGGAGACACACGGCGGGUGCUAACGUCCGUCGUGAAGAGGGAAACAACCCAGACCGCCAGCUAAGGUCCCAAAGUCAUGGUUAAGUGGGAAACGAUGUGGGAAGGCCCAGACAGCCAGGAUGUUGGCUUAGAAGCAGCCAUCAUUUAAAGAAAGCGUAAUAGCUCACUGGUCGAGUCGGCCUGCGCGGAAGAUGUAACGGGGCUAAACCAUGCACCGAAGCUGCGGCAGCGAACGUAUCACCCAAGACAACUUUACGGAGUUGACGAUUGACGGAGCGAAGCGACGUCAAAGCGUUCAUUAAAGUCGAGUUGGCUUAGGGAUACGUUCGUUGGGUAGGGGAGCGUUCUGUAAGCCUGUGAAGGUGUGUCGUGAGGCAUGCUGGAGGUAUCAGAAGUGCGAAUGCUGACAUAAGUAACGAUAAAGCGGGUGAAAAGCCCGCUCGCCGGAAGACCAAGGGUUCCUGUCCAACGUUAAUCGGGGCAGGGUGAGUCGACCCCUAAGGCGAGGCCGAAAGGCGUAGUCGAUGGGAAACGGGUUAAUAUUCCCGUACUUGGUGUUACUGCGAAGGGGGGACGGAGAAGGCUAUGUUGGCCGGGCGACGGUUGUCCCGGUUUAAGCGUGUAGGUGUGUGUUCCAGGUAAAUCCGGUUCACUUUAACACUGAGGCGUGACGACGAGGCACUACGGUGCUGAAGCAACAAAUGCCCUGCUUCCAGGAAAAGCCUCUAAGCAUCAGGUAACAUCAAAUCGUACCCCAAACCGACACAGGUGGUCAGGUAGAGAAUACCAAGGCGCUUGAGAGAACUCGGGUGAAGGAACUAGGCAAAAUGGUGCCGUAACUUCGGGAGAAGGCACGCUGACACGUAGGUGAAGUGAUUUACUCAUGGAGCUGAAGUCAGUCGAAGAUACCAGCUGGCUGCAACUGUUUAUUAAAAACACAGCACUGUGCAAACACGAAAGUGGACGUAUACGGUGUGACGCCUGCCCGGUGCCGGAAGGUUAAUUGAUGGGGUCAGCGUAAGCGAAGCUCCUGAUCGAAGCCCCGGUAAACGGCGGCCGUAACUAUAACGGUCCUAAGGUAGCGAAAUUCCUUGUCGGGUAAGUUCCGACCUGCACGAAUGGCGUAAUGAUGGCCAGGCUGUCUCCACCCGAGACUCAGUGAAAUUGAACUCGCUGUGAAGAUGCAGUGUACCCGCGGCAAGACGGAAAGACCCCGUGAACCUUUACUAUAGCUUGACACUGAACAUUGAGCCUUGAUGUGUAGGAUAGGUGGGAGGCUUUGAAGUGUGGACGCCAGUCUGCAUGGAGCCGACCUUGAAAUACCACCCUUUAAUGUUUGAUGUUCUAACGUGGACCCGUUACCCGGGUUGCGGACAGUGUCUGGUGGGUAGUUUGACUGGGGCGGUCUCCUCCUAAAGAGUAACGGAGGAGCACGAAGGUUGGCUAAUCCUGGUCGGACAUCAGGAGGUUAGUGCAAUGGCAUAAGCCAGCUUGACUGCGAGCGUGACGGCGCGAGCAGGUGCGAAAGCAGGUCAUAGUGAUCCGGUGGUUCUGAAUGGAAGGGCCAUCGCUCAACGGAUAAAAGGUACUCCGGGGAUAACAGGCUGAUACCGCCCAAGAGUUCAUAUCGACGGCGGUGUUUGGCACCUCGAUGUCGGCUCAUCACAUCCUGGGGCUGAAGUAGGUCCCAAGGGUAUGGCUGUUCGCCAUUUAAAGUGGUACGCGAGCUGGGUUUAGAACGUCGUGAGACAGUUCGGUCCCUAUCUGCCGUGGGCGCUGGAGAACUGAGGGGGGCUGCUCCUAGUACGAGAGGACCGGAGUGGACGCAUCACUGGUGUUCGGGUUGUCAUGCCAAUGGCACUGCCCGGUAGCUAAAUGCGGAAGAGAUAAGUGCUGAAAGCAUCUAAGCACGAAACUUGCCCCGAGAUGAGUUCUCCCUGAGACUUAGAGUCUCCUGAAGGAACGUUGAAGACGACGACGUUGAUAGGCCGGGUGUGUAAGCGCAGCGAUGCGUUGAGCUAACCGGUACUAAUGAACCGUGAGGCUUAACCUUACA
Molecule: ribosomal RNA, 2326 nt
Filed under: Salmonella enterica subsp. enterica serovar Typhimurium
Lineage: Bacteria; Pseudomonadati; Pseudomonadota; Gammaproteobacteria; Enterobacterales; Enterobacteriaceae
Description: partial 23S ribosomal RNA
Rfam family: Bacterial large subunit ribosomal RNA
Source: RNAcentral